RNAcentral lists this small nuclear RNA (106 nucleotides) under Meriones unguiculatus (Mongolian gerbil). The record is from RNAcentral. Lineage: Eukaryota; Metazoa; Chordata; Mammalia; Rodentia; Muridae.
GUGUUCACUUCAGCAGCAUGUAUACUUAAUUAUAACCAUACAGAGACUAUUAGCAUGAUCCCUAUGUAAGGGUGGCACACAAAUUCAUGUAGCAUUCAAUAUUAUU